GACGGGGACUGCCGGCGACAAGUCGGAGGAAGGUGGGGAUGACGUCAAAUCAUCAUGCCCCUUAUGACCUGGGCUACACACGUGCUACAAUGGGCGGUACAAAGGGCUGCGAACCCGCGAGGGGGAGCGAAUCCCAAAAAGCCGCUCUCAGUUCGGAUUGCAGGCUGCAACUCGCCUGCAUGAAGCCGGAAUCGCUAGUAAUCGCGGAUCAGCAUGCCGCGGUGAAUACGUUCCCGGGCCUU
RNAcentral lists this ribosomal RNA (242 nucleotides) under uncultured Geobacillus sp. Its description in RNAcentral is "partial 16S ribosomal RNA". It matches the Rfam family "Bacterial small subunit ribosomal RNA", at positions 1141 to 1382 of the family's 1533-position model. Lineage: Bacteria; Bacillati; Bacillota; Bacilli; Caryophanales; Anoxybacillaceae. The record is from RNAcentral.